GAGGGUAUAGCUCAGUGGUAGAGCGUGUGCUUAGCAUGCACAGGUCCAGGGUUCAAUCCCCAGUGCUUCCA
RNAcentral lists this transfer RNA (71 nucleotides) under Camelus bactrianus (Bactrian camel). It matches the Rfam family "tRNA". Rfam says of the family: Transfer RNA (tRNA) molecules are approximately 80 nucleotides in length. Lineage: Eukaryota; Metazoa; Chordata; Mammalia; Artiodactyla; Camelidae. RNAcentral also lists the same sequence under 2 other names. The record is from Rfam by way of RNAcentral.